UCUUCACGGCAAGAUGUUCCUUCUGCAACAGCCUCCCACGAAAUCGCCCACGAAAUUUUCCACCAAAGUGGAGUUGACAGUUCCCUACAGCAUUCUUGAUGUUUCUUCACGGCAAGAUGUUCCUUCUGCAACAGCCUCCCACGAAAUCGCCCACGAAAUCUUCCACCAAAGUGGAGUUGACAGUUCCCUACAGCAUUCUUGAUGUUUCUUCACGGCAAGAUGUUCCUUCUGCAACAGCCUCCCACGAAACUGCCCACGAGAUCUUGCAUCAAAGUCAUUUCAUUGUUGUUGGAGCUUCUGUUGCGUUUUUGUAAUGCUGCGAUACUCCAAUUUUUUUUAACGAUCCCGAAGUGUUGGCAAGUACUUCGAUGCCGACACGUUGGGACCGUCUACGACACAGUGGCUUAGUCGGUACUCGGUAGCCAUUAAGGCGAGUCGGCGCCUGUGUCGUAUUUUGGAGUAGAUUGUUGCAGCUUCAGAAGCUAUAACGCUAAGCUAUAUAACGCUAGUUGGAUGCUGCAGAUAGCGCUUCUUGACAGAUGUUCUUUCACGGGAAAUUGUUCCUUCUGCAACAGCCUCCCACGAAACUGCCCACGAGAUCUUCCACCAAAGUCAUUUCAUCCUUGUUGUAGCUUCUGUUGCGUUUUUGUAAUACGCUUAUACUCCAUUUUUUUUAACGAUCCCGACGUGUUGGCGAGUACUUCGAUGCCAACACGUUGGGACCGUCUACGACACAGUGGCUUAGUCGGUACUCGGUAGCCAUUAAGGCGAGUCGGCGCCUGUGUCGUAUUUUGGAGUAGAUUGUUGCAGCUUCAGAAGCUAUAACGCUAAGCUAUAUAACGCUAGUUGGAUGCUGCAGAUAGCGCUUCUUGACAGAUGUUCUUUCACGGGAAAUUGUUCCUUCUGCAACAGCCUCCCACGAAACUGCCCACGAGAUCUUCCACCAAAGUCAUUUCAUCCUUGUUGUAGCUUCUGUUGCGUUUUUGUAAUACGCUUAUACUCCAUUUUUUUUAACGAUCCCGACGUGUUGGCGAGUACUUCGAUGCCAACACGUUGGGACCGUCUACGACACAGUGGCUUAGUCGGUACUCGGUAGCCAUUAAGGCGAGUCGGCGCCUGUGUCGUAUUUUGGAGUAGAUUGUUGCAGCUUCAGAAGCUAUAACGCUAAGCUAUAUAACGCUAGUUGGAUGCUGCAGAUAGCGCUUCUUGACAGAUGUUCUUUCACGGGAAAUUGUUCCUUCUGCAACAGCCUCCCACGAAACUGCCCACGAGAUCUUCCACCAAAGUCGUUUCAUCCUUGUUGUAGCUUCUGUUGCGUUUUUGUAAUACGCUUAUACUCCAUUUUUUUUAACGAUCCCGACGUGUUGGCGAGUACUUCGAUGCCAACACGUUGGGACCGUCUACGACACAGUGGCUUAGUCGGUACUCGGUAGCCAUUAAGGCGAGUCGGCGCCUGUGUCGUAUUUUGGAGUAGAUUGUUGCAGCUUCAGGUGCAACAAUGUAACAUGUUCGGGCACGUCUUCGCAAACAUUUCCGAUCGCGCUCCGCAAUCAUUUCCGAUUUAGUCCCGGGAGCUGGGGUUGACAUUCUCCUCCGACCUUCUUGCGUUGGCAACAGGAAGGAGGUGGAAGGGGGAACUGCCGGAGGCAGCGACAAGCUCCCAGAUUGAAGGUCUCUUUAAAGUAAGAUAUAUAUUAUAUAAUAUAAUUAUAUUUUUUGGGUCAUAAUUAUUUAGGGCCUGGUACAAAUAACUUCGAUGUGAAUGCUGUGGAUGAAGAUGAUGAAAUAGCAAAGAUACACGACGAAGAAUAUCUACUAGCAAAAUCUGAAGAAGACGUUCGAAAAGCUGAUAUAAAAGCUAUCGGAAGUUUUUUGGAAACGAAAACAGUUGGCGGAACACUUGGUGCAAUUGGAUUAUCUGGAAAAUACGCAAUUGAAUCAUUAACAGGUGUUCUUUAUCCAAGAAUGGCUCCAACAAGAGGAGAAAAAAGACAACGAAUUGAAGAUGACAGUGGUAUAAAGAAUCCACAAGAUGCUUCACAAGAACAAAAUAUUGGCGUUGAUCAAGUUCAAGGAUCAUCAAUGCCUGGUGGAACUGGAAGUGAUGCUAUAGCAACUAUUAUACUUGAUCCCGGAAUAACUAAAGUACAAGGAAUUUAUCGUAAAACAUUUCAAGUUGAUACAGCUGGAUUACAAUUUGGUAUAAAAAAUUUCGAUAGUUGGAAAGAUUUCUGGGAUAUCAAUAAUUUUGAGUUGUUAAACUACACCUUUUGUAGAUAUGACUCCUAAUAAUUUACAAUUAUUUAUGACUCCAACUGAAUUUAGUAAUCUUCCUUUAAAUACGUGGGCAAAAAGAUGUAGAAUCAAAGUAACUCCAUUAGGUUAUAGAUUGCCAUCUGCAACUAAUGAAGCUGUUUCUUCUUUUGCUAAUAGCCAAACUUUGGUUCAAAUUGGACAUGGAGUAGGAUUAAAUAAAAUAAUGAAUUAUAUAUCAACAAGUAUUUGUGUGGAUCUUGCAGAUUUAACAUCAGUAAAUGCUUUAUCAAAUUCUAUGAUACCUGCUAAUACAUUAUAUGGUAUUGAUAAUUCAAUAGGUUGUAAUAUGGGUAUACCGCGUCAUUGGAAUAAAUAUAUUGUAAUUCCUAAAUUCAAAAAACAUAAGGGAACUCCAAAUUUUUUAAGACAUUAUCAAAUUCGAAAUGUCAAUGAUUGUAAUGGAAUACCAGUUAUAGAUUAUACCUAUAAUUUCAAAUGUGGUAUUUUAAAAUUUCCUUAUAUGGCACAAAGAAGUCAAACAGCAAUGCCAUUAGUCGGAGGUUUUACUAAUUCUUUAUGUACAGAAGUUGCUUCUAAUUAUACUGCUGAUUCAGCAAAAGCUACAAAAGAUCCUAUAAGUAGUAAAAUAUCUGCUACAUCUUCUAAACCUUAUUUUAGUGAUCAUUUGCAGUAUAAUAAUAUAAUUGAAAAAUCUGCUUAUAUGCAAAGAAAUGUUGGUCAUUCUUUAACUCCCGAUGCACCCCCUACAUUGGCAUUCGGUACAAAGUACAAAGUACAAAGUAAUGCUGCUUUAUCUCCUACUGCAACUUUUGCUAAUGUUGUCGUUCAAUGGCAAAUAGAAACUAUGUUAGAAACAGAACAUAAUAUUGAUAGUGUCCAUCCUAAUGUUAAUAUUCCAAUUAUACAAGGAUUGGAUUCACUUAUGCUUCAAUUUCUUUUGGAGCUGAUGAAUUGAAUAGUGAUCUAAAUAUUGCAUAUAUAGCUGGAAGUAUAUUUAUUAUUUAUUGGAUAUAGCAUUAC
Molecule: long non-coding RNA, 3297 nt
Organism: Ornithodoros turicata
Lineage: Eukaryota; Metazoa; Arthropoda; Arachnida; Ixodida; Argasidae
Exons: 3
Source: RefSeq, a predicted model, not a curated record